Molecule: ribosomal RNA, 1349 nt
Filed under: uncultured bacterium
Lineage: Bacteria
Description: 16S ribosomal RNA
Rfam family: Bacterial small subunit ribosomal RNA
Source: RNAcentral
GAUGAACGCUGGCGGCGUGCCUAAUACAUGCAAGUCCAACGCGAGCCUUCGGGCUCGAGUGGCGAGCGGGUGAGUAAUACGUAAGCAACCUGGCCUUUACAGGGGGAUAACUGAUGGAAACGUCAGCUAAGACCGCAUAGGUACAGAGAUCGCAUGAUAACUGUAUUAAAAGUGCUACGGGACUGGUAGAGGAUGGGCUUACGGCGCAUUAGCUGGUUGGAGGGGUAACGGCCCACCAAGGCGACCACGCGUAUCCGACCUGAGAGGGUGACCGGCCACUCUGGCACUGAGACACAGCCCACACUCCUACGGGAGGCAGCAGCAGAGGACUUUUCGGCAAUGGGGAGAACCCUGACCGAGCAACGCCGCGUGAAAGAAGAAAGAAUUCGUUCUGAAAACUUUUGUUAUAAGGAAAGAACGGCACAUAUAGGGAAUGAUAUGUGAGUGACGGUACUUUAUGAGGAAGCCCCGGCUAACUACGUGCCAGCAGCCGCGGUAAUACGUAGGUGGCGAGCGUUAUCCGGAAUUAUUGGGCGUAAAGAGGGAGCAGGCGGCAGCAAGGGUCUGUGGUGAAAGGCUGAAGCUUAACUUCAGUGUGCCAGAGAAACCGGGCAGCUAGAGUGCAGGAGAGGAUCGUGGAAUUCCAUGUGUAGCGGUGAAAUGCGUAGAUAUAUGGAGGAACACCAGUGGCGAAGGCGACGAUCUGGACUGCAACUGACGCUCAGUCCCGAAAGCGUGGGGAGCAAAUAGGAUUAGAUACCCUAGUAGUCCACGCCGUAAACGAUGAGUACUAAGUGUGGCGAGUCAGAUCCCAGUGCUGCAGUUCACGCAGUAAGUACUCCGCCUGAGUAGUACGCUCGCAAGAAUGAAACUCAAAGGAAUUGACGCGGGCCCGCACAAGCGUUGGAGCAUGUGGUUUAAUUCGAAGCAACGCGAAGAACCUUACCAGGUCUUGACAUCCGGAUAAAGGCUCCAGAGAUGGAGAGAUAGAUAUAUCCGAGACAGGUGGCGCAUGGUUGUCGUCAGCUCGUGUCGCGAGAUGUUGGGUUAAGUCCCGCAACGAGCGCAACCCCUCUUGCUAUUUUCCAUCACUAAGUUGGGGAUUCUAGCGAGACUGCCGGUGACAAGCCGGAGGAAGGCGGGGAUGACGUCAAAUCAUCACGCCCCCUAUGACCUGGGCUACACACGUGCUACAAUGGACGGAUCAGAGGGAAGCGAAGCCGUGAGGCGGAGCGAAACCCAGAAACCCGUUCUCAGUUCGGAUUGCACUCUGCAACUAGAGUGCACGAAGAUGGAAUCGUUAGUAAUCGCGAAUCAGAAUGUUGCGGUGAAUACGUUCUCGGUCCUUG